This is a long non-coding RNA of Branchiostoma belcheri (Belcher's lancelet), 929 nucleotides long. RefSeq lists it as uncharacterized. The transcript has 5 exons. The record is from RefSeq and is a predicted model, not a curated record. NCBI's taxonomy places the organism in Eukaryota, Metazoa, Chordata, Leptocardii, Amphioxiformes, Branchiostomatidae.
CAUCCUGUGAGUGUGAGGAUCCAUUGCUGCAGUAUCAUCAUCAUACCACCCAGGCUUGACCAGUUGAGACAGGGACAGGGCAGGAAGUGGCCAUGUGCUGUCAAGUAAAGGCUAGCGUGAGAUUAUCACGUCUUCGGCGCAGAAAGAAAUCCAAUCCAUCUUUCCGCAGUCUCCUUUGGUAGCUCGUUAUGGGCAGGCCCACUCCAGCGAUAUUGGGAGAACCCGCCUAGGGAGGGCAAAACGCCCCUGCGAGAGCCGGUGGGAUAGGCCUGUCUGUUAUCGUGGUCGGUUUUCCAGGAGAAAGGGGGUAUCCCGUCCGAAAUCUCAAACUUGCUGUGCGCUUGAGCUUCAAGAAUCGUCAGCUUUUUUUUUACACGUCUGCCAGGUAUAACUGAGUGAAGAAUACCAUGGCCAAACUGGUCCCUGGAGAUACAGGUAGACAAAGGUAAAUCAUCAAAUGCUUCAACAUCUACUAAGUGGUAAAAAACUAGUUUCAUUGUUCAUUGCAAUUAGAAUUUUCACCAGAAGUUUAAGUCCAUAUUUUAAAGUCUACUUUGUGUCUUCUUUGUUUAGAACAGUCACACUUCCAGGUUUUGCACACCUGGCAAUUGAAUGUGAAUAGAUUUUAGGUCAGGUAAAUUUUACCUGUUGAUUCAGAGGUUUAAUUAUCUGGAUGUGGCUUAACCAGGUGUUCACCAGAUUGAACUGAAGAUGUAUAGAUUAUGUCCCAAGAGAGGAAAUAAAACCUUUAAGAGUCGUCUCCUCAAAAUGUCUUGUAUCAUGUGAUGCCUGCUUGAUCAUGUGUACAAUGUAGUUGUCAUUGAACAGUAUCUAUUUUAAACCAAAGAAAACAAUUAUUACUUUACAAGAGUGUUUCAAAAUAUUGUGUAAUGGUAAAGUUGAUUAAAAUUCUAUAUAUUGAGCAAAAG